RNAcentral lists this ribosomal RNA (253 nucleotides) under uncultured bacterium. Its description in RNAcentral is "partial 16S ribosomal RNA". It matches the Rfam family "Bacterial small subunit ribosomal RNA", at positions 524 to 776 of the family's 1533-position model. The record is from RNAcentral.
UACGUAGGGUGCGAGCGUUGUCCGGAAUUAUUGGGCGUAAAGAGCUCGUAGGCGGUGUGUCGCGUCGGCCGUGAAAACCUGCAGCUUAACUGUGGGCUUGCGGUCGAUACGGGCAGGCUGGAGUUCGGUAGGGGAGACUGGAAUUCCUGGUGUAGCGGUGAAAUGCGCAGAUAUCAGGAGGAACACCGAUGGCGAAGGCAGGUCUCUGGGCAUUAACUGACGCUGAGGAGCGAAAGCAUGGGGAGCGAACAGG